This 330-nucleotide ribosomal RNA is filed under the name uncultured eukaryote. Its description in RNAcentral is "partial 18S ribosomal RNA". It matches the Rfam family "Eukaryotic small subunit ribosomal RNA", at positions 1470 to 1796 of the family's 1831-position model. The record is from RNAcentral.
CCCUUAGAUGUUCUGGGCCGCACGCGCGCUACACUGAUGCAUUCAACAAGCCUAGCCUUGACCGAGAGGUCCGGGUAAUCUUUGAAACUGCAUCGUGAUGGGGCUAGAUUAUUGCAAUUAUUAAUCUUCAACGAGGAAUGCCUAGUAAGCGUGAUUCAUCAAAUCGCGCUGAUUACGUCCCUGCCCUUUGUACACACCGCCCGUCGCUACUACCGAUUGAAUGGUUUAGUGAGACCCUCGGAUCCGUCCCGGCGCGGCCGUUCGCGGCCGCGCCGGCGCGCGGAGAAGACGGUCGAACUUGAUCAUUUAGAGGAAGUAAAAGUCGUAACA